ACAGUACAAAGUGCUCGCUGACAUUGUGUCUGUAGCCAAAAUGAAAAUGAUGGCUACCUGAUGAUUGAGGUGUAUGAUCCAUCCAGGUGUUUACCAGGCUACCAAUCUCAAUGCCUGUUCUGGAUGGAUUUUUAAUUAAACCAACAUCCCCCGCUUCUGAACAAAUGCGCUUCAUCAAUGGUUUUGUUUUGAAGGAGGAAGUUACUUUAGAACAAAAGCAUAUAGUGCUGGACUCGUUUGGGACCAACUAGAGUAUUUGGCGAG
Etheostoma cragini (Arkansas darter) is the source of this 264-nucleotide long non-coding RNA. RefSeq lists it as uncharacterized. The record is from RefSeq and is a predicted model, not a curated record. The transcript is spliced from 3 exons. Lineage: Eukaryota; Metazoa; Chordata; Actinopteri; Perciformes; Percidae.